Phyllostomus discolor (pale spear-nosed bat) is the source of this 612-nucleotide long non-coding RNA. RefSeq lists it as uncharacterized. Lineage: Eukaryota; Metazoa; Chordata; Mammalia; Chiroptera; Phyllostomidae. The transcript is spliced from 3 exons. The record is from RefSeq and is a predicted model, not a curated record.
UGUGUGUGUGUGUGUGCAUAGGCCCCCAGUGAGCAACUUAGUUGUAGGCAGGGUAGGCAAAUACAGUUUUGUGUGUGUCUGUGCCAUUGGGAUACAAAUGUAACUAUGUGCCACUUGCCAAAGAAAAGACCAUGUAUAAAAACUUUCAGCCUAUAAUAACAAAUUAAAACAGCUUCUUGCUAUAAAAGACAUGAACAUUACUAAGCUAUUCCCUCCCAGAAUCUUAACACAUGGGUUCCCCCUGGAAAACUCCUCUGUGUGUCAACAGAUUGUGAAAAACAACAGUAGAUAACACUGCCCAGAUUACACUAACAACUUAAAAACAUUUUAUCUGGUCCUCAAAAUUAUCUUGCAUAAAAAUUUUUUUUCCUGUUUUUCAAGAAACUGAGUCCUCCAGAGAUUUAAGUAGUCCAAAGUCACAGAAACAGUUCAGGGGACAUAAUGAAGCUAGAACCCUGUUUUGUAAAAUCUAGUACUUGUUACACUGUAACCUGCACCAUCGGAAAAAAAAAAUCGUGCUUAAGCAAGAAUGGAGGACAAGGAAUGACCCCACUGGUGAGUCAUACCUGUCCCAACUAUUUUGAGGGUCACCUGAAACACAGUUCAAGUCAU